UGGGGAAUUUUGGACAAUGGGCGAAAGCCUGAUCCAGCAAUGCCGCGUGUGUGAAGAAGGCCUUCGGGUUGUAAAGCACUUUUGUCCGGAAAGAAAUCCUUGGCUCUAAUACAGUCGGGGGAUGACGGUACCGGAAGAAUAAGCACCGGCUAACUACGUGCCAGCAGCCGCGGUAAUACGUAGGGUGCAAGCGUUAAUCGGAAUUACUGGGCGUAAAGCGUGCGCAGGCGGUUUGCUAAGACCGAUGUGAAAUCCCCGGGCUCAACCUGGGAACUGCAUUGGUGACUGGCAGGCUAGAGUAUGGCAGAGGGGGGUAGAAUUCCACGUGUAGCAGUGAAAUGCGUAGAGAUGUGGAGGAAUACCGAUGGCGAAGGCAGCCCCCUGGGCCAAAUACUGACGCUCAUGCACGAAAGCGUGGGGGAGCAAACAGGAUUAGAUACCCUGGUAGUCCACGCCCUAAACGAUGUCAACUAGUUGUUGGGGAUUCAUUUCCUUAGUAACGUAGCUAACGCGUGAAGUUGACCGCCUGGGGAGUACGGUCGCAAGAUUAAAACU
RNAcentral lists this ribosomal RNA (555 nucleotides) under uncultured bacterium. Its description in RNAcentral is "partial 16S ribosomal RNA". It matches the Rfam family "Bacterial small subunit ribosomal RNA", at positions 355 to 901 of the family's 1533-position model. The record is from RNAcentral.